Molecule: ribosomal RNA, 328 nt
Filed under: uncultured eukaryote
Lineage: Eukaryota
Description: partial 18S ribosomal RNA
Rfam family: Eukaryotic small subunit ribosomal RNA
Source: RNAcentral
CCCUUAGAUGUCCGGGGCUGCACGCGCGCUACACUGAAGGAAUCAGCGUGCUAAAACCAUUGUCGAAAGGCAUUGGUAAACCCAUUAAAAUCCUACGUGAUUGGGAUCGGGAAUUGCAAUUAUUUCCCUUGAACGAGGAAUUCCCAGUAAGUGUGGGUCAUAAGCUCGCGUUGAUUACGUCCCUGCCCUUUGUACACACCGCCCGUCGCUGCCCGGGACUGAGCCGUUUCGAGAAAAGCGGGGACUGCUGCUGUCGGGGAUUUCGGGCCUUGGCUUCGGUGGAAACCGCUUUAAUCGCAGUGGCUUGAACCGGGCAAAAGUCGUAACA